UAUCUGUCGGGAGUUAUUUUCUUCCCUCCAAUUUUAUUUGCAACGAUAGUUUCUAGUGACAGAAUAUCUGGAAACAUGGACCCCCUUUUCGUAAAGCUUUUCAUUUCUUUUUCUUCUUCUUUAGUUUGCUGGAGGUUUCAAUAUUCCGAAUACAAAGCUGGAAGACGAUAGAUUCAGCAAGAGAGAGAGAUGUGAAUAUGAAUGUGAAUGGUGCAUGAUAUAUGACAGCGAGGAAUGUACAUGGCUGGUAUUAUUAAUAAGAAUAAUGUAAACCUUCAAAGCAUUUUGCAGACU
Long non-coding RNA from Coffea arabica (coffee), 294 nucleotides. RefSeq lists it as uncharacterized. The record is from RefSeq and is a predicted model, not a curated record. Lineage: Eukaryota; Viridiplantae; Streptophyta; Magnoliopsida; Gentianales; Rubiaceae.